CGACCACUGGUGUAUCUGUUAGGUAUCAGGCCUAUGGCAGAGUAGCCAAGUCGGGACGGGAUAAACGCUGAAGGCAUCUAAGCGUGAAGCCCCCCUCAAGAUGAGAUAUCCCAUUCUGUAAGGAAGUAAGACCCCUUGAAGACGACGAGGUAGAUAGGGCAGAGGUGGAAGUGCGGUAACGUAUGGAGCUGACUGUCACUAAUCGGUCGAGGGCUUGACCAG
This 222-nucleotide non-coding RNA is filed under the name Lachnoclostridium sp. An14. RNAcentral describes it as "Bacterial large subunit ribosomal RNA". It matches the Rfam family "Bacterial large subunit ribosomal RNA", at positions 2703 to 2925 of the family's 2925-position model. The record is from Rfam by way of RNAcentral. Lineage: Bacteria; Bacillati; Bacillota; Clostridia; Lachnospirales; Lachnospiraceae.